GCCAGCCGCGACCGCCUCCACCUCUCUCUCCCUCAUUCCCUACCACCACACCGUGCAGCCUCAGAUUACAGGUAAGACCCCUACCACCACGCUGUGCAGCCUCGGAUUGAGCCUUACAGGGGCCAAGGAGCAGCAAUAGCUCUUCAUCAAAUCCGGAAUCCAAAACUAAAGACAAGUGUGCUGUAAUGUAAAGAAAGCAUUUGUAUAUGAUGUAUUUCCCUCCCAGUUUUGGCCAAUUUGUUGUAAUACAUGAUAAGAACAUCACCUAAGCAAUCAUCAUUUGUGUGAA
This is a long non-coding RNA of Magnolia sinica, 289 nucleotides long. RefSeq lists it as uncharacterized. The record is from RefSeq and is a predicted model, not a curated record. Lineage: Eukaryota; Viridiplantae; Streptophyta; Magnoliopsida; Magnoliales; Magnoliaceae. The transcript is spliced from 2 exons.